UACGAAGGGGGCUAGCGUUGCUCGGAAUCACUGGGCGUAAAGGGCGCGUAGGCGGAUCUUUAAGUCGGGGGUGAAAGCCCAGGGCUCAACCCUGGAAUUGCCUUCGAUACUGAAGAUCUCAAGACCGGAAGAGGUAAGUGGAACUGCGAGUGUAGAGGUGAAAUUCGUAGAUAUUCGCAAGAACACCAGUGGCGAAGGCGGCUUACUGGUCCGGCUCUGACGCUGAGGCGCGAAAGCGUGGGGAGCAAACAGG
This 253-nucleotide ribosomal RNA is filed under the name uncultured bacterium. RNAcentral describes it as "partial 16S ribosomal RNA". It matches the Rfam family "Bacterial small subunit ribosomal RNA", at positions 524 to 776 of the family's 1533-position model. The record is from RNAcentral.